This 255-nucleotide ribosomal RNA is filed under the name Vibrio sp. a3p9. RNAcentral's name for it is "partial 16S ribosomal RNA". It matches the Rfam family "Bacterial small subunit ribosomal RNA", at positions 817 to 1071 of the family's 1533-position model. RNAcentral also lists the same sequence under 4 other names. The record is from RNAcentral. Lineage: Bacteria; Pseudomonadati; Pseudomonadota; Gammaproteobacteria; Vibrionales; Vibrionaceae.
UUGGAGGUUGUGGCCUUGAGCCGUGGCUUUCGGAGCUAACGCGUUAAGUAGACCGCCUGGGGAGUACGGUCGCAAGAUUAAAACUCAAAUGAAUUGACGGGGGCCCGCACAAGCGGUGGAGCAUGUGGUUUAAUUCGAUGCAACGCGAAGAACCUUACCUACUCUUGACAUCCAGAGAACUUUCCAGAGAUGGAUUGGUGCCUUCGGGAACUCUGAGACAGGUGCUGCAUGGCUGUCGUCAGCUCGUGUCGUGAG